Molecule: long non-coding RNA, 258 nt
Organism: Jaculus jaculus (lesser Egyptian jerboa)
Lineage: Eukaryota; Metazoa; Chordata; Mammalia; Rodentia; Dipodidae
Exons: 2
Source: RefSeq, a predicted model, not a curated record
GCUUAAGGGCACUUUUUAUGCUCUGGCAAAGCCCAAAGGUGUUCCUGCAUUCGUAAAAUGGUCGUGUUUUUAAAGGGUGCCCUCGGACUCGAGCGCGAAGCCAAGCGACGUAUCGAGGCGGUAAACGCAGGUCGGGGGGAGCAGGAACUGACUACAGGACACCGCCCCCUCGCAAGUGACGCUCAGGGUCGGCCCACAAGGCAGGAGUGACAAGAGGAAAUGAGCUUGGAGCGUACAAGUUGAAGGAGGAAGCAUCAA